This 468-nucleotide ribosomal RNA is filed under the name uncultured bacterium. Its description in RNAcentral is "partial 16S ribosomal RNA". It matches the Rfam family "Bacterial small subunit ribosomal RNA", at positions 28 to 507 of the family's 1533-position model. The record is from RNAcentral.
GACGAACGCUGGCGGCGUGCUUAACACAUGCAAGUCGAACGGAAAGGCCCUGCUUUUGUGGGGUGCUCGAGUGGCGAACGGGUGAGUAACACGUGAGUAACCUGCCCUUGACUUUGGGAUAACUUCAGGAAACUGGGGCUAAUACCGGAUAGGAGCUCCUGCUGCAUGGUGGGGGUUGGAAAGUUUCGGCGGUUGGGGAUGGACUCGCGGCUUAUCAGCUUGUUGGUGGGGUAGUGGCUUACCAAGGCUUUGACGGGUAGCCGGCCUGAGAGGGUGACCGGCCACAUUGGGACUGAGGUACGGCCCAGACGCCUACGGGAGGCAGCGGUGGGGAAUAGUGCACAAUGGGCGGGAGCCUGAUGCAGCGACGCCGCGUGCGGGAUGACGGCCUUCGGGUUGUAAACCGCUUUCGCCUGUGACGAAGCGUGAGUGACGGUAAUGGGUAAAGAAGCACCGGCUAACUACGUG